This 209-nucleotide ribosomal RNA is filed under the name uncultured bacterium. RNAcentral describes it as "partial 16S ribosomal RNA". It matches the Rfam family "Bacterial small subunit ribosomal RNA", at positions 524 to 731 of the family's 1533-position model. The record is from RNAcentral.
UACGUAGGGUGCAAGCGUUGUCCGGAAUUAUUGGGCGUAAAGAGCUCGUAGGCGGUCUGUCGCGUCUGCUGUGAAAACUCAGGGCUUAACCCUGAGCUUGCAGUGGGUACGGGCAGACUAGAGUGCGGUAGGGGAGACUGGAAUUCCUGGUGUAGCGGUGAAAUGCGCAGAUAUCAGGAGGAACACCGGUGGCGAAGGCGGGGUCUCUG